UGGUUUGAUUAUGGCUCAGGAUGAACGCUGGCGGCAUGCCUAAUACAUGCAAGUCGAACGGAGUGAAGCCUUCGGGUUUCAUUCAGUGGCGAACGGGUGAGUAAUACGCAGGGAACCUGGCCAUGGCAGGGGGAUACACUCUGGAAACGGAGCAUAAGACCCCAUAGGCAGUAAGGCGGCAUCGCCUUACUGUUAAAGAAAGCUGAAAGGCUUUGGCGAUGGAUGGACCUGCGGUGCAUUAGCUUGUUGGUGAGGCAACGGCUUACCAAGGCGAUGAUGCAUAGCCGGCCUGAGAGGGCGGACGGCCACACUGGGACUGAGACACGGCCCAGACUCCUGCGGGAGGCAGCAGUAGGGAAUUUUCGUCAAUGGGCGCAAGCCUGAACGAGCAAUGCCGCGUGAGUGAGGAAGGUCUUCGGACUGUAAAGCUCUGUUGCCGGGGAAAAAGGGGAAAUGCAGGAAAUGGCAUUUCAUGGAUGGUACCCGGCCAGAAAGCCACGGCUAACUACGUGCCAGCAGCCGCGGUAAUACGUAGGUGGCGAGCGUUAUCCGGAAUGAUUGGGCGUAAAGGGUGCGCAGGCGGUCUGCUAAGUCUGAAGGCAAAGGGAUGAGCUCAACUCAUUUAUGAUUCAGAAACUGGCAGACUUGAGGACAGGAGAGGGCGGUGGAACUCCAUGUGUAGCGGUAAAAUGCGCAGAGAUAUGGAAGAACACCAGUGGCGAAGGCGGCCGCCUGGCCUGUGACUGACGCUGAGGCACGAAAGCGUAGGGAGCAAAUAGGAUUAGAUACCCUAGUAGUCCACGCCGUAAACGAUGAGGAGCAGGUGUUGGGAGUGAAAUCUCAGUGCCGAAGCCAACGCAGUGACUCCUCCGCCUGGGGAGUAUGCACGCAAGUGUGAAACUCAAAGGAAUUGACGGGGGCCCGCACAAGCGGUGGAGUAUGUGGUUUAAUUCGAAGCAACGCGAAGAACCUUACCAGGUUUUGACAUCGGAUGCGAAGGCGCAGAGAUGCGCUGGAGGCUAUCAUCCAGACAGGUGGUGCAUGGUUGUCGUCAGCUCGUGUCGUGAGAUGUUCAGUUAAGUCUGGCAACGAGCGCAACCCCCGUGGUAUGUUACUAACGCAUUUGGGCGAGGACUCAUAUCAGACUGCCGGUGACAAACCGGAGGAAGGCGGGGAUGACGUCAAAUCAUCAUGCCCCUUAUGACCUGGGCUACACACGUACUACAAUGGCGUCUACAGAGGGAAGCGACCCUGAGAAGGGAAGCGAAACCGGAAAAGGGCGUCCCAGUUCGGAUUGAAGUCUGCAACCCGACUUCAUGAAGAUGGAAUCGCUAGUAAUCGCGGAUCAGCAUGCCGCGGUGAAUACGUUCCCGGGCCUUGUACACACCGCCCGUCAAACCAUGGAAGCCGGCAACGCCCGAAGCCGGUGGCAUAACCUUUUAGGAGUGAGCCGUCGAAGGCGGGGCCGAUGACUGGGGUUAAGUCGUAACAAGGUGACC
RNAcentral lists this ribosomal RNA (1499 nucleotides) under uncultured bacterium. Its description in RNAcentral is "bacterial SSU rRNA". It matches the Rfam family "Bacterial small subunit ribosomal RNA". The record is from RNAcentral.